GGUGAACGCUGGCGGCGUGCUUAAGACAUGCAAGUCGAACGCAGUCUUCGGACUGAGUGGCGCACGGGUGAGUAACACGUAACUGACCUACCCCCAAGUCGCGGAUAACUGGCCGAAAGGUCAGCUACUACGUGAUGUGAUGUCCCCUUUCUGGGGGGCCAUUAAAGGUCUACUGCUUGGGGAUGGGGUUGCGUUCCAUCAGCUAGUUGGCGGGGUAAAGGCCCACCAAGGCAACGACGGAUAGCCGGCCUGAGAGGGUGGCCGGCCACAGGGGCACUGAGACACGGGUCCCACUCCUACGUGAGGCAGCAGUUAGGAAUCUUCCACAAUGGGCGAAAGCCUGAUGGAGCGACGCCGCGUGAGGGAUGAAGGUUCUCGGAUCGUAAGCCUCUGAAUCAGGGACGAAAGACGCGUAAGCGGGAUGACGGUACCUGAGUAAUAGCACCGGCUAACUCCGUGCCAGCCGCCGCAGUAA
This 475-nucleotide ribosomal RNA is filed under the name uncultured bacterium. Its description in RNAcentral is "partial 16S ribosomal RNA". It matches the Rfam family "Bacterial small subunit ribosomal RNA", at positions 28 to 523 of the family's 1533-position model. The record is from RNAcentral.